Molecule: long non-coding RNA, 2005 nt
Organism: Cyanistes caeruleus (blue tit)
Lineage: Eukaryota; Metazoa; Chordata; Aves; Passeriformes; Paridae
Source: Ensembl
CAUGCUUCAAGGCAGCAAAUCACAUAACAAUCAACCCUAAGUUUUGCAAACAGAUUUGUUUAUUCAUUUAUUAAUUCUUCAUUUUGCAUUCCAUAAUUUUUCAGCCCUUGGCAGGUCCCCAGUAAAAGUACACAGUGUUUGUUGUCCAGAAUGCUGUUCUGUGAUUGCCCAUCUGAAUGAUAUGGCAAGAGUUUUAAUCUGCCUGGUGCAAUUACCAAAAGAGAAAGAUAGAAGUAUAAUCAAUUGGGAUAUGGGGAUAUGUUCCUUUUUUUAUUAUUUUUUUUUCUUUUUUUUCUUCUUCAAACAAUGAACUUCCUACAACUUUUCAAGCUGAUGCAGACAUCUAGAUAAAUUUUAUUUACAUAGAUAUCUUUAUGGCAAAAGACCAAACUUGACCUUUCUCAGCAGCCUUUCCUGGAACUUUCACAAUUAGGCUGUGCACCGUAUUCUAGGUCUGUCCUGGUAAAUUAGGUGUUUCUAGUGCUGUUCUUUAACACUGAGCACAACUCAGUUCACACAAAUAACAUUUCUCUCUGUCUAGAGCUCAGUGGCUGUAUGUAAAGUGAUGGCUGAGACUGGCUUCCUGCCCAUGAAAACUUCCAGUCUAUUCUGGGACCUGUUUGUAAGACUAAGAGUCAGCCCAGAUGUAAGCAGAAGUGACCUUCAAGAUGGGGAGCCUCAUUGGAUUUACCACCUGGUCCACCAAUGGCCUACAGACCAAUAUUUAAAGUGUCCAGAACACAGUUUGGUAGUAAGUACAAUUUUAGCAGAAAUUUAAUCAACCUGCCCCUGUUAAAUAUUUAUCCAAUUAUGCAAGUGACAAGCGAAAAAUGGAUGAAUUCCUUUUAACGUAAUAUAAAAUAGCACAUAGCAGAAGGGAAUUUUAUCAUUAAAGAUAUAAUGAGAUCAUGAACACCUCCAAAGGGGUGAGUUAAUCAAAUAAGGCCAUAAUAUGACAAGCAGCCUGUCAGAAGAAAUUCUAUUUUCUGCAGUACGCGAGUUGCAUUUGAGUUAAUAAUUGAGUCGCAUAACCACCCUACCAACCUUGUUAGAGGAUGUCACACUCAGCCUUGCUGAUGAAGGAGGACAAAAGUGGAUGGUUUGAAAGGGGAAUUCCCAGAGCUGAUAUUGACAGUGGGUGCAAUUACAGGAACUGCUGACUCUGACAGAUACAGACCUUUCCCUCAGGUGUACGUAGUAUGCACCAAAAUAAUUGUGCCCCAGGCAUUAAGUGCAUCUAUACACAUGCAUGCUUGAAGAACUAGCUGUUUAGGGAGAACAGUCUGAAGCAUGUUGCUGAAGAGACUCAAGAUAUAUACCUUUUUCUGAGAAGAAAGAAUUUAAGUCCCCUACCCUUAGCUGGUCCAAAAUCUUACAGCUCCACUGGCAUCAGCCAAGCUCUCGUGAUUUACACAGGCUAAUGCUUUGUCUCACAGUAUGUAAUCUUUUUCCAUUAAUAUUUACCUGCUGUUCCAUAAUGACUACAAAAUGCCUGACAAUAGCUAGACAGUGGGAGUUCUGUGACUGCCACUUACUACACAAAUCAUAAUCUAGCUACUGGUACCUUGUGCUUCCUCCAUUUUUCUGUCACAUCCAUCUGGUGUCCCUCCCACACAGACUAAGAGUAGACACUGCCUCCAAGUGCAGUUAUCCUGCAUUGGGGAUGAAAAUAGUAUUGCAAGAGCAAUAGUCAAAAAUUAGCAUGUGAUUUCUAAUAGCAGCAACAUGAGAGCAUAGAGGCUCCCUCCCUCCAGAAGCUUAAGGCAUUUGGAAUAAUUUGCAAGUUGUGUUUUGUAGAAUAACAAAUGAAAGGUACUGAGAGAUCAAAGGAUUAGCCUGUGAUCAUACUAUUGGCAGACCUUCUUCCAGAUGUAAAAGGAAAAAAAAAUUAAAAAGGGAAAUUCAUUUCAUUGUUAAGAAUAACUUAACUACAGGUAAAAAAUACUAUCAAGUCUAAAGCUGUACAGAAGCUGUCAUAAUAAAUCAUGAAUCCUGUCAAAUGUCA